GCCGACUUCCCCUUCCCAGCCCCGCUGCGCCCUGCGGGGCCCUGUCGGCGGUGGGGGCUGCGGACCCGGGAGCGCGCGGCCGCGCUGCACGUGCAGGGACCGGUAGGCGCCGGGGUCAGCGCCAGCGUUUGAUGUGCGGCGGGGAGCGGGCCGAGCCCCGGGAGGCCGCUUCGCACCUCCCAGUGUGUCCGGGUUGAGCGCGAGGUCAGGAGGGGACGCAGAGUUCACGGCGAAGACGGAUCGCGGGGGCUCGUCCCGCCCGGGUUGCGCGCAGCGGGGGCCGCGUGAUGGAUGGGCCGGGCCGGGCACCCGGGAACCCGCGAGCGCGGGGCUGGGCUCUGGGCUGCGUCCGGGGGCCCCGACUUGGUUAUUGAUCGGCCCAAGCGCAGGAGAACUGACUCUAUAAUGCAUCGCCUGACCAGGAAAAGUGUUUGCUUUUGUGGGAGCAAAAGACAACUUUCUGCCCCGCCAGAGCGUUGCUAAGUGAGCGGUAAUGACCACGCUAGAAAUUUCAUAGGGAGAGGCUAAUGGCAGGCUGACUCUAAAAGUGCUUUUAAGUGCAACUUCUGUCUAAUCCCUUGAGGGGGAAGAAAACAUCGGCGACUAAGAAAGUUCAAGUUGUACAGGACCCGGGUUUUUGGGGUCGGGGUCACUUCUGCUCUGCGUGACUUUGAAGAGGAAGACCUGCGGUUUUUUCCAGUGGAUUUUCACACGUGUUUUAAAGAGAACUCCCGGCUCCUGAAAUGAAAGGCCCGCCUGUAGGGUUUUGCUGCCUCCCCUCUGCCCACGCCCCACCCCCACAGCCUGGAUCAAAGCGAUCAGACAAAUUAUUCAGAAGUAACACAGCCCUGAAAUGUUCCUAAACGUGACUAUUUGAGGCGAUGAAUCAAGCGUGUUCCCUCCGCCCCCAACCCACCCCCAGACCGAAAAUGUGACUCUGGAAACGGACUUGCAGAGCUGGCUUCGGUUUAUAUGCGGUUCUGACCCCUGUUGACUUUAGGACAAGCCUUCCUGUUUCCAGUACUGCAGCAUCGCCAGACAGCCUCGCCAUGCAAUCGGCUUUCCAGAUACGAUUUCACUCCUCACCAAAGACACUUCUUUAGGGCGAUUUUAGGAUUCUAUCAACGCUAGUAAAGGAACUACUUAAACACGUUGAUUUGUAUCGCCUUCCCUGACUAUGAAACAUUGAAGGGGAAUACUACUCAUCAAUAAAAAAAAUAUAAACUCCUGAUACACCUCAUGGAUGGAUGCAUAGAUGGAUGGAUGGAUCUGAAAAACAUCGUGCUGAAUAAAAGAAGCCAGACAUGAAAGAGGGCCUCGCAGGACUCUGCACAGCCCGCACAAAGGACGUAGGAUUCUGCACUGGCAGAACUGGAUGUAAUGUUGCCCUGAGAAACAUUCAUUUAUUUCAGAGUGAAACCCGUUAAAAUGGAAGUGUGUAGGAUUUGGGUUGGCUGGAUGCAAGCUUCCCUCUGCAGCGGGAUGAGGCUGCCACUACCAGGAGCACGCUGGCCUGCCGGCGGGAGGAACAGAUGCCAGAGGAGACCUGACUGUGUCCUCAAGGCCAUGCCCCAUCAGCCAUCCCAGCAGAGCCCACAGCCACCCACAGAGGAAUGAGGAUCCCCAUCCAGGAUCACCGGAACUGCACAACUGACUCACAAACGUGUGAAGAGUAAUGGGUAACGUGUUGAACUGUGAGCCUUUGAGCCUGGGGAGGUUUGUGAUGCAGCAGUAGCUCCCAGACCCUUGAGGCUCUUCGGCACGAAGGUGCUGAGCCAUGCACCUAUGCAAAGCCAAACUCUGCACUAGGCCUACUGGGGUGUGCAGAGAGAGAGGGCUGAACAAACUGCGGUUCCACCCAGAAGACCCAGAAGAACAUUUACGGAGGAGUCAGUGCAAGAGGCGAGAGAGCAUGCGUGAAGAGGCUCGUUCUUGUGGUGUAGAAAAGGAGGCCAGAGUCUCCCAGACCACGAUUCUUUUCCUUUAGGUGUUUCUUGGGCAUUUUCAAUCUUAAAUCUCUUCCCAUGUUAUUGAGAUUUCUGAUUGAAUGUCCCCAUUUUCCCUCAGACAGCAGGCCGUGUGUGAGUCACCACCUCCAUCUUUCUAUGUCCUGGGUGUGGGCCCAGUGAAGGACAGUUAUGGAAAUUUAGAGAGAAGAGGUCGCAGGUGUGGUGGGGGUGGUGAAGCUUCAGAAGAGAAAAGAAGCAUGGUGGAGAGGGUGGACUCUGGAGGCUACUGCAGAGCUCUCCCCCAGGCUAUGAGGGGGCAUGAUGGUCCCAAUAGCCUGAGUCUGUGUUCAUUUCAACUGGCUACCUUGUGACGAGGAAGAUGGCCCAGGUUCCCAGUGGGAAAUCUAUGGUUAUCAUUAAGAACGCAGGGCCUGAGAUGAAACCUGGCAGGUGAAAGGCACCUGGUUUUAUGCAACCUGGUUUUGCAGAAGCCUGUGGGAGGGGGCCCAGGGGGGAAGGGAGCAGAGGGCAGUGUUGGCUCUGGUUCCCCCACCAGGCAGGUGGGCUAGCACCUGGGUAAGGGGCUUUGCAUCUGGAGCUGGUCAUGCCUCAGUCCAGAUCCUGCCUUUAUCAGUUGAUGGGCUGUUACCUGCCAGUGGUUAUGGUGAGGACUAAAUUACGGAAAGUCAUCAAGGAUCUUCAUUCAUUGCCCACCACAGAGCAGGCACUCAAUGGAGAACACUCACCACCAUCUAUGUUGUUAAUGUUGCAUCUGCAGCCCUUGGUUUCCUGGAAAGACUCUACAGUACAGGGGCAGGUUAGGGGCCACAACCAGGAAACAAGACACAUCUGAGAGAAUGCAUGGGAGCUUAUGGAAGGAUGUACAAGGCUGGGUGUGGGAAUCCCGGCACUUCGGGAGGCUAAGGUGGAAGGAUCACUUGCAUCCAGGAUUCAAGCCUAGCCUGGCCACGUAGUGAGACCCCAGCUCUACAAAAAAUCAAAAAUCAACUGGGCAUGGUGGCAUGUGCCUCUAAUCCAAGCUACUCAGGAAGCAGAGAUGGGAGGAUCGCUUGAGCCCAGGAGGUUGAGGCUGCAGUGAGCUGAGAUCAUACCACUGCACUCAUUCUGGGCAACAGAGUGAAACCCUGUCUCAAAAAUAUAAAUAAAUAAAUAAAUAAAUAAAUAAAUAAAGAAAGAAAGAAAGAAAGAAAGAAUUUACAAGAGGGGAGUUUUAGUGGUUGAAAAAUCAUUCACUCAUUCCAGGAGCAAGAGCCUUGUGGGUUUUCUUCCUGUUCUUGCCUGGGUUAUCUCUACUGAACCAAAGAAUCCUUGUUAGGAAUGCUCUGGUGGUGUCAAUCAAUGCGUUUAUAAAUCAUUUGCUUUUACCAUGGAAAAAGAUAUCACAAAACAACACAGCUGUAGUGCAGGUGCAGAUGACCAUGGAACGGCAGCCUGGCGUUUUCAGUAGAGCACUGGGCAGCAGAGUCCCUGGGCCUCGGAACCCCGGCCUGUUACCACCCAACACCAUCCCUGGGCAAAAUGCGAAACUCCCAUCAGAUCCAUGAAUGGAAAAUGGGCGUAAUUAUAAUUGCACCCCACUCUCUACCUCUCAGCUAAGGUGAGAAAUGAAUAUGAGGAUGCUCAGUGAAAAUGCUUUGAAGUCUGUGAAAUGCGAAGCAAAUGUGAAGCGAGAGGAAUAAUAAGGUUCUAAGGACCCACACUUGGGCGUUUGCUCUGAGCUGGCCCCUGUCCUCCACACUGAACCUACAGCCUCUCCUCUCACCUAAUCUGCACAAAAAUCUUACGAAGCAGACACACUUACCAUGCUGGCCUUUCCGUGAAAUUUCAGGUCUUAGUGUCGCCCAUUACUGGUGGCAUUUCAUGCCACAAGUUGGGCCAUCUGCACCUCCAAGCACAGGGUCACAGAAGACUUUAUCCCGUCCCUUGGGCUGACUGAAUGGUUGGUUUGUGUCAACCCCUGUUGUCCCUUUGAGCAACUCGGGGGCAAUGGUUAUGGGUAGGGCUUAAAAAACCGUCUGGCUGCAAACCCAGUGCUGAUACGAACAAGGCCUAGUCAGGCACUAAGUGUUUUGUGUUCCCCAAAGAGAUCUUAAUGAAAUCCCAGCAUGCCACUCACUCCUACACUUAAAAUACCUUUUAAGUGUAGGAAAGAAAGUGCUUUCAACCCCACCCCAGCCAUUUGGAUUCGGAGACUCCAUUUAAGAUGCACAGCUUUCCUCCAGCACAGGGGCUGGGUAUCCAAACGCAGAGCCUCCCCCAGACUCUCUCUAGGCUUAGCCUGGCUUGGUGGGCUCAGGAGGGAUUCAAGAUUAUUUCAUCCUUUAUGUCCAUUCGAUGACAGUUUAUCAUCAUUGCCACCUCAUACUCUAUUGUAGCCAAACAUCAUAACCAGCACCAUGUGAACUACGUCACUGACGCCACAUUCUUUUUCUCGGCUGUCACUAGGCUCAGGUCAGGACAGCCCUCCCGGCUGACUUCCGCGAUACUUUCUGUAUCUCCUUUUCAGUCUGCCCUAAAAUGACAGCUGGACUUCCGACAGUGGUUUCUUAUGUGGGACACAUGGCUCUUAUACUCUGGGUGGCACGGAUUCCUUUAUUGCCAGUGGCUUAAUUUUCCCAGAUCUAUUUCCAUGCAGACAGUGUGAGGUUGGACUUCAUGCCUCAUGCUCCUGAUUGGGGCUCGGAAGUCUAACCCAGCUUCCUGCAGUGCCGCCCCCAGCUUAUUCAAUGCCCAACCUGCAGGUCCUAAGUUGAACCCGCACACUGCACGCUCACCUGGUCUGUGCUGCCAGCUGCAUUGGAAAUGGAAGCAUUAAACACCGUUCUCCACUGUCAGCCACCUGCUAGCUAAUGAGUGACAUCAUUUAACACUGUUUUGAAAAGAGAGAUUUAAAGUUGUUUUGAAAACUGAAGGAAAAAUACAAAUGUUUGAGUGUUAAACAUUUUGCCCAAAUACUAAAAUGUGAAUGUCUUUUUAUUGUGACAGUUCACAGGAAAGCGGGCUAUAGCAUGCCUGUGCUUGUCAAUGAAAAUCUUAGCACUGAGUUUGGUAAACAUUCUGGCAGUCGGGAAGCCACUUAAAAAUAAAGUUUAAAGAAAAGAAAGAGAAGUGUUCACUUUCCUUCUAAUUUUCCCAGAUACGCUCAAUAUUCUGCUUUAUUUUUUAGUAUUUUAACUAAAAUAAGAAAACUCGGAUUCUACCUCUAUGUGUCCUAUGAUUGUUGUUGUUUUCUCUGAUUAUAAAAUACAGGUUUGCAGCAGAAAACUUGGCAAAACAGAGAUAUGAAGAAUAAAAUAAAAAUCACCUGUAGUUCUAAGCCAUGAGAAUAAUCAUAUAUAUAUUCCCUAGGUAUUCUGAAGCAUAUGUAUUACAGUCCAAAUAUUUAAAAACAAAAUUUGGGUAAUACUUUAGAUAGAGAGUUGUAUUCUGAUUUUUUCUAUUAAUAUUAUAACUUUGAAACGAGGGACUUCACCAUUGCUUUUAUUUUUCUUUGCUAUGUAAGUACUUAUGUUCUUUAUGAGGAAAAUAAAAACUAUAGAAAAGAAAGAUAAGAAAAUAAAAUCAGUAAUAAUCCCCUCACUUACAAAUGACUGCUGUUAACAUUUUAGUUUUUUGGUUUCUAUCUAUUUAUGUGAAAUUUGAAUGAAAAUAGUAUAAUUUCGCUGUCUCUAUAUUGCUUGGUAACAUAAUGAUUUAACUGUAUAAUAAAUAGUAUAUUACAUGAAUAUUUUGAGUAAUAGUCUGU
Molecule: long non-coding RNA, 5715 nt
Filed under: Homo sapiens (human)
Lineage: Eukaryota; Metazoa; Chordata; Mammalia; Primates; Hominidae
Description: HSALNT0253212
Source: RNAcentral